GACGAACGCUGGCGGCGUGCUUAACACAUGCAAGUCGAACGGAAAGGCCCUGCUUUUGUGGGGUGCUCGAGUGGCGAACGGGUGAGUAACAGGUGAGUAACCUGCUCUUGACUUUGGGGUAACUUCAGGAAACUGGGGCUAAUACCGGAUCGGAGCUCCCGUUGCAUGGAGGGGGUUGGAAAGUUGCGGCGGUCGGGGAUGGACUCGCGGCUUAUGAGCUUGUUGGUGGGGUAGUGGCUUACCCAGGCAUAGAAGGGUAGCCGGCCUGAGAGGGUGGCCGGCGACAUUGGGACUGAGGGACGGCGCAGAGGGGUACGGGAGGCAGCAGUGGGGAACAUGGCCCAAUGGGCGGGAGCCUGAUGAAGAAGCGCCGCGGGCGGAAUGACGGCCUGUGGGUAGUAAACCGCUUUAGCCUGUGACGAAGCGUGAGUGACGGUAAUGGGUGAAGAAGCACCGGCUAACUACGUG
RNAcentral lists this ribosomal RNA (468 nucleotides) under uncultured bacterium. RNAcentral's name for it is "partial 16S ribosomal RNA". It matches the Rfam family "Bacterial small subunit ribosomal RNA", at positions 28 to 507 of the family's 1533-position model. The record is from RNAcentral.